AAGGGAAGUCGCUCGGUUGUGUCCGACUCUUCGGGACCCCAUGGACUGCAGCCUACCAGGCUCCUCUGUCCAUGGGAUUUUCCAGGCAAGAGUAUUGGAGUGGGGUGCCAUUGCCCUCUCUGAUCUUAUUGUCCUAUUAAGUGACAAAAGCAAAAUAAAAUAUGCAUAGACAAUCACAGCUGUUUUAAAUGUGCAGAGCUAAAAAUUAUGCAUAAAAAUAGACUGGAAGUAUGCCUAUAUGUUAACAGUUGGUGGUCUAGGAAUGAUGGAAUGAUGGGUAAUUUUUUUAUUCCUAUUUUUACUUUCAGACUUUCUCUAUUGAGAGUUAAGGUGUACAAAUAAUUUAUAUCUGAUUUACACACACACACACACACCUCUUGCUUGUUAAACAUUAGAGGUGAUGUUAUAUAGAGCCAGAACUCAGGUUUUGAGUUAUUAAUAUUACCUAGGUUAGUGACAGUUCUGGUUCAUCAUUUAGGAGCCCUGAGUGCAGGGAAGCAAGCUGCUGUUGCCAAUGUUGUCAUCGUUGUAAUUGUGUUUCUGCUUCAAUGUCCUCACCUGAGAGUCAAGGUGAACGAUCCUCCACCCAGAGGGCUAUAAUGGUUCCAGUGGGAUAAUGCAUGUAAACUCCUAGCAUGUCAUAUGACACACAACAGGCCCAGAAUAAAUGUCAGCUACACUUCUCAGGGUUCUUAUUCCUGAGAGAAUGAUGCUGAUCUGAUCAGACACUUCAAGUUUUAAGGAGACAUUUGUUCAGAUGAAGGAAAGAAGAGAAAAUAGAGAAUAACACCAGCUUGAUGAAUCUCAGGAUCUAUAAGACUUGUUUAAACCCCUCGCAUGUAAAGAUGUGCCAAAUCUGAUUCUACAAGAAUGUUUUUCAAGUAUUCUGUUUUUAGCAACAGAACUCCCUACCCCCCUCCCCAAAUCUCAUGCAGAUUCCUCUAGAUUUAAAACAGAUCAAAACCGCUGCUCUGGUAAAACAGAGGUCAGGUCACUCAUCUGAGCUCCACAUUGCUCUUACAGAGCUGAGGCUUCUCAGAGAAUAAUGUGGAAAAUGCUCUUCCAACAUAAAUGUAACUGGUUCACAAACUGUAACUUGGCCAGCUUCUUCUGGGAGAGGGGGCACGGUGUCCUUGGCUCUCUAUUGUGGUUUGCGGGGCAGCAAGGGGCAGAGGGAUCAUGAGCAACAGCUGUCCCCAGGCUCUUGAACUACUUGGCAGGGCAUUUGUGCAUGUCUCAAGCCUGUUCCUUAGGAGCCGUGCCCUUAUUUGAGCCAGAACUACACAAAGGCAUUGUCCUCAAACACUGGGUCUCCUCUUUCUUGACUGGCCCUGUUUACCCAUUCAUCAGCAGGUGGUGGCUGGAACAUUCCCCUUUGAUUUUGUGGCUCAGGAGCGGCAAGCUAAGACCUAAGCUGAAUAAACAUCGUAUCAUUUGGCACUGGCAAGAUUCCUGGUAGUCCGGGUCAGGAGAGGUUUAAGGAGGAUUAGGUUUAGAUUAGAAAAGGGGUUGAGUUAUUUUUUUUCCCUGUGGUUUCUCUUAAGUGCCUUAGGGUUUUGUAAGAGUCAAGUGGGCUGACGGCCUAGACUCAGUUGCUCCAGAGAUAAAAGUGGUGAGCUCAGUGUUUUUUCUGGACCAUCAGGAGGGUAUGUUCUUCUCCUGAACAUGGUUUUUCCCAUGAGACUCAUGAGUUCCUGGGAAUCUGCUGAAAGCUCUAAACCUUUUCUCUAGAAAACUGGGGGCAUCUGUGCACAAGCACGCACGGGCAGGUACACAAGGGCACGCCCACACGGGCUUGCGCGUGCGCAUACACCUGAUUUGACUUACUCGCAGGCGUUCCUGAAAUUCACAAGCCAGAAGAAUUUCAAGAGCCUAAACAACUCACCUUUCAGAGGGACCUCACCCUUCCCAGAGUGAUUUGCUACCAUGUAUUGAGAGAAGACUGGAUGAUGCCACAUUGCCACAUGAUACCAUAAGAACUCAAUAUUUCUGACCACGGAUAUCAGAACACACAUUAUUCCUGCUGCAGUUCUGACAGUGAGAACAAGGACUGUCCUGGGCAGAUGACCUUCUGCCGCUACCUCUUUGCACUUCUGUUCAUCCUUUUUUAAACACCAGAAUCCCCCAUUCAGCGUGGUGUACCCCAGCUUCACUGAGGAAACUCAGGAUGAAGUCUUCUGACUUAUGCCCCUUAGAGAGGAAAGAGCACAUGACAUGACCUGGCCCAUCAGAUGCCCAGGAACCCAGCAGAAGGGCAGUUGGAAUCAUUCAGCUUGCUGGCAUUCCACAAUGGCAACAGCACCCCGUGGUGUUCAGCAUUGGCAGAACACUGAAAGUGGUUCAUCAGUUUCAGUGGUUUAUCAGUGGUUUUCAGCAGUUAGUUGUGAUUUGGUGUUUUUGUAGGAAGAGGUGAGCUCACAUCCUUCUGCUCCAGCAUCUUGUCUCCAUCCUGAACAGACCAUUCCUAUUUGGUUGUGAUUCCAGCCAGUGAGACUCACAUUGGAUAAUGGCCGAUUUCUCAGCCUGGUUCUUCAUGAUGAGUUUUUAAACAGCUACCCUUAAAUUAGCCCAGGUCAGUUUCUGUUGUUUAUAACAGGGAAUCCUGAUCAAUACCAAUGACAUAGCCUCUUUUUGAUCGAGAAGUUGUAAAUGUCUACAUCUCUAGGCAAACCCACAUCUGUCCUCAAAGCCUUAAAACACAGAUCAGGUGUCUUUCAUUGUUUUCCCUUAAAGACAAAUCCUUUCUAAGAUAAUCAAGUCUCUAAAUAAUAAUGAGCAGUUUUCAUUACAAUAAGUAAAUAGUACACAGUCGUCUCUUGAAUCUAAAGGUAUUGGUUCUAAGAUCCCCACAGAUUCCAAAACUGUGGAUGCUCAAGUCACUUAUGUAAAAUGGCCAGUACGGGUGGCCCCCUCUAUCUCUGGGGUUCCAUAUCCUCGAUACAAAGGCCUGACUAUAUGUAUCAACCUAUUAUCUUUAUGGACAGAAAAAAAUGUGAAUUAGCAAAUGUGAAAACAUUUUUAUUGACCUUAAGAUAGAGUAAUUUUAGGAAAGCAGAUAGUUGACAUUGUUUUCAGUUAUUCACAGCAAGGUGCCUGUGAAACUCUUAUAAUUAGACUGAGUGGCACCAUUAAUGACACUUGAGAUAUAUGCAAAGCUUGUCAUAUGCUUUAAAAUUCACAAAGGCAGAUCAUUUUGAUAUGCUUUAUUCAUUUUCUCUGUUGAACACUGGGUUAUAUCCCAGUUGAAUAAAGCAUCUGAUGUACUCCGAUUUGCAUUUUUGCACACAACAUACUUUCCAAUUCUACCUCGUUCACAUCACUGUAAUUGUUUCCAUUUCUUACAUAGGAGGACGUUAGUCACAUUCAUUAUCAGCUAAACAAUUUGACCCAAAUGACAAUAAUAAAUCAUGCCCAACUUAGACAAUUGAAAUAUCAGAAUUUUUAACUAUGACUUGCUUAGCUUGGGCAAAAGACCCUUGGUCCUAGCUAUCAUAACUGCUCCUGCCUCCCAGGGAACAUAAUAUCAGACACGUUAGGAAGUGUCUUUGUUAAAUUAGUAUGUGUGGAUGAUUAUGUAUAUCUGAUUUAGUAAUAGAAUGUGGAUUUGUGUAUGAUCUCUAAUGAACAGCUUAUAUGUGAUCAUAAAAACAAAAAUCUACAGAAAUGUGUGUUAGUAACAAGCCAGAGAGAGUGUGAAAUUUUGGAUCAGUUUGAAGCCCAAAUCAAGAGUGUUCACUGUUGCCUGCCAGCAGUUCAAACAGUAUAGAAGUAUAUAAAGUAUAAUUCAGUAACUAA
Molecule: long non-coding RNA, 3795 nt
Organism: Bubalus bubalis (water buffalo)
Lineage: Eukaryota; Metazoa; Chordata; Mammalia; Artiodactyla; Bovidae
Exons: 4
Source: RefSeq, a predicted model, not a curated record